CCAUGCUUAACUAUUUUUGUGAGAUUUUUUUUUCAAAGCAGCUGUUGUGGUUUCCAAGGCACAAGGAGUCUUGUUUUUUUGUUUUUUGUGUUUUUUUUUCUUUCUACACUACAAUGUAUUGGCAAACAAAUGUCUGUUUCUCCAAACACAGCGUCUGAUUCUGAAUGAUGAUGUUGUGACAUAUGUGUACUUCAUACAUUCCCAGCACUGCCUGAGCCUGCAGAGAAGGGACUUGCUUUUUGUAAAUACCUCACAGAGUUGUAUACAGAGCAAACAGCCAACCUGUUUGUGAGUGGAUAAGUGAGUGAAUAUUAGUUGAAUUAUUUAAUCAUAUCUUUUGACAAUAACUCUUUGGCUCUGUGAUGGCAAUUUGGAAUGAAAAGACAAAAUAUUUGUUGAUUUCAAUAUUUUUUUCUCCCCCAAUAAGAGGAUAGCAUAAGGGAGAUUGAUUGGGUAGACAAACAGACAAGAAAGAAGGAAAGAGAGAAAAAAACAAACAAAGAAGAAAGAAAGAA
RNAcentral lists this long non-coding RNA (515 nucleotides) under Rattus norvegicus (Norway rat). RNAcentral describes it as "long non-coding RNA NONRATT012375". Lineage: Eukaryota; Metazoa; Chordata; Mammalia; Rodentia; Muridae. The record is from RNAcentral.